GGCUCAGAAGGAAAGCUGGCGGCAGGCCUCACACAUGCAAGUCGAACGCCUGUAGCAAUACAGGAGUGGCAGACGGGUGAGUAAUUCGUGGGAACGUGCCCUUCGGUUCGGAAUAACUCAGGGAAACUUGGGCUAAUACCGGAUACGUCCGCGAGGAGAAAGAUUCAUCGCCGAAGGAUCGGCCCGCGUCCGAUUAGCUAGUUGGUGGGGUAAUGGCCCACCAAGGCGACGAUCGGUAGCUGGUCUGAGAGGAUGAUCAGCCUCACUGGGACUGAGACACGGCCCAGACUCCUACGGGAGGCAGCAGUGGG
Molecule: ribosomal RNA, 311 nt
Filed under: uncultured Hyphomicrobiales bacterium
Lineage: Bacteria; Pseudomonadati; Pseudomonadota; Alphaproteobacteria; Hyphomicrobiales
Description: bacterial SSU rRNA
Rfam family: Bacterial small subunit ribosomal RNA
Source: RNAcentral